UUAAGCGACUAAGCGUACACGGUGGAUGCCCUGGCAGUCAGAGGCGAUGAAGGACGUGCUAAUCUGCGAAAAGCGUCGGUAAGGUGAUAUGAACCGUUACAGCCGGCGAUGUCCGAAUGGGGAAACCCAGUGCAAUUCGUUGCACUAUCGUUUGAUGAAUACAUAGUCAAACGAGGCGAACCGGGGGAACUGAAACAUCUAAGUACCCCGAGGAAAAGAAAUCAACCGAGAUUCCCCCAGUAGCGGCGAGCGAACGGGGAGCAGCCCGGAGUCUGAAUCAGCUUGUGUGUUAGUGGAAGCGUCUGGAAAGUCGCAGGGUACAGGGUGAUACUCCCGUACACUAAAACAUACAGGUUGUGAACUCGAAGAGUAGGGCGGGACACGUGGUAUCCUGUCUGAAUAUGGGGGGACCAUCCUCCAAGGCUAAAUACUCCUGACUGACCGAUAGUGAACCAGUACCGUGAGGGAAAGGCGAAAAGAACCCCGGCGAGGGGAGUGAAAAAGAACCUGAAACCGUGUACGUACAAGCAGUAGGAGCCCACUUGUUGGGUGACUGCGUACCUUUUGUAUAAUGGGUCAGCGACUUAUAUUCUGUAGCAAGGUUAACCGUAUAGGGGAGCCGCAGGGAAACCGAGUCUUAACUGGGCGUUAAGUUGCAGGGUAUAGACCCGAAACCCGGUGAUCUAGCCAUGGGCAGGUUGAAGGUUGGGUAACACUAACUGGAGGACCGAACCGACUAAUGUUGAAAAAUUAGCGGAUGACUUGUGGCUGGGGGUGAAAGGCCAAUCAAACCGGGAGAUAGCUGGUUCUCCCCGAAAGCUAUUUAGGUAGCGCCUCGUGAAUUCAUCUUCGGGGGUAGAGCACUGUUUCGGCUAGGGGGUCAUCCCGACUUACCAACCCGAUGCAAACUACGAAUACCGAAGAAUGUUAUCACGGGAGACACACGGCGGGUGCUAACGUCCGUCGUGAAGAGGGAAACAACCCAGACCGCCAGCUAAGGUCCCAAAGUCAUGGUUAAGUGGGAAACGAUGUGGGAAGGCCCAGACAGCCAGGAUGUUGGCUUAGAAGCAGCCAUCAUUUAAAGAAAGCGUAAUAGCUCACUGGUCGAGUCGGCCUGCGCGGAAGAUGUAACGGGGCUAAACCAUGCACCGAAGCUGCGGCAGCGACACUAUGUGUUGUUGGGUAGGGGAGCGUUCUGUAAGCCGUUGAAGGUGGCCUGUGAGGGUUGCUGGAGGUAUCAGAAGUGCGAAUGCUGACAUAAGUAACGAUAAUGCGGGUGAAAAACCCGCACGCCGGAAGACCAAGGGUUCCUGUCCAACGUUAAUCGGGGCAGGGUGAGUCGACCCCUAAGGCGAGGCCGAAAGGCGUAGUCGAUGGGAAACAGGUUAAUAUUCCUGUACUUGGUGUUACUGCGAAGGGGGGACGGAGAAGGCUAUGUUGGCCGGGCGACGGUUGUCCCGGUUUAAGCGUGUAGGUGUGUGUUCCAGGUAAAUCCGGUUCACUUUAACACUGAGGCGUGAUGACGAGGCACUACGGUGCUGAAGUGACAAAUGCCCUGCUUCCAGGAAAAGCCUCUAAGCAUCAGGUAACAUCAAAUCGUACCCCAAACCGACACAGGUGGUCAGGUAGAGAAUACCAAGGCGCUUGAGAGAACUCGGGUGAAGGAACUAGGCAAAAUGGUGCCGUAACUUCGGGAGAAGGCACGCUGAUAUGUAGGUGAAGUGGUUUACCCAUGGAGCUGAAAUCAGUCGAAGAUACCAGCUGGCUGCAACUGUUUAUUAAAAACACAGCACUGUGCAAACACGAAAGUGGACGUAUACGGUGUGACGCCUGCCCGGUGCCGGAAGGUUAAUUGAUGGGGUUAUCCGUAAGGAGAAGCUCUUGAUCGAAGCCCCGGUAAACGGCGGCCGUAACUAUAACGGUCCUAAGGUAGCGAAAUUCCUUGUCGGGUAAGUUCCGACCUGCACGAAUGGCGUAAUGAUGGCCAGGCUGUCUCCACCCGAGACUCAGUGAAAUUGAACUCGCUGUGAAGAUGCAGUGUACCCGCGGCAAGACGGAAAGACCCCGUGAACCUUUACUAUAGCUUGACACUGAACACUGGUCCUUGAUGUGUAGGAUAGGUGGGAGGCUUUGAAGUGUGGACGCCAGUCUGCAUGGAGCCAUCCUUGAAAUACCACCCUUUAAUGGCUGGUGUUCUAACGUGGGCCCGUAAUCCGGGUUGCGGACAGUGUCUGGUGGGUAGUUUGACUGGGGCGGUCUCCUCCUAAAGAGUAACGGAGGAGCACGAAGGUCAGCUAAUCCUGGUCGGACAUCAGGAGGUUAGUGCAAUGGCAUAAGCUGGCUUGACUGCGAGCGUGACGGCGCGAGCAGGUGCGAAAGCAGGUCAUAGUGAUCCGGUGGUUCUGAAUGGAAGGGCCAUCGCUCAACGGAUAAAAGGUACUCCGGGGAUAACAGGCUGAUACCGCCCAAGAGUUCAUAUCGACGGCGGUGUUUGGCACCUCGAUGUCGGCUCAUCACAUCCUGGGGCUGAAGUAGGUCCCAAGGGUAUGGCUGUUCGCCAUUUAAAGUGGUACGCGAGCUGGGUUUAGAACGUCGUGAGACAGUUCGGUCCCUAUCUGCCGUGGGCGCUGGAGAAUUGAGGGGGGCUGCUCCUAGUACGAGAGGACCGGAGUGGACGCAUCACUGGUGUUCGGGUUGUCAUGCCAAUGGCAUUGCCCGGUAGCUAAAUGCGGAAGAGAUAAGUGCUGAAAGCAUCUAAGUACGAAACUUGCCCCGAGAUGAGUUCUCCCUGACUCCUUGAGAGUCCUGAAGGAACGUUGAAGACGACGACGUUGAUAGGCCGGGUGUGUAAGCGCAGCGAUGCGUUGAGCUAACCGGUACUAAUGAACCGUGAGGCUUAACCU
This 2903-nucleotide ribosomal RNA is filed under the name Klebsiella pasteurii. RNAcentral describes it as "23S ribosomal RNA". It matches the Rfam family "Bacterial large subunit ribosomal RNA". Lineage: Bacteria; Pseudomonadati; Pseudomonadota; Gammaproteobacteria; Enterobacterales; Enterobacteriaceae. The record is from RNAcentral.